GGUCAAGUGAAGAAGCGCAUACGGUGGAUGCCUUGGCAGUCAGAGGCGAUGAAAGACGUGGUAGCCUGCGAAAAGCUUCGGGGAGUCGGCAAACAGACUUUGAUCCGGAGAUCUCUGAAUGGGGGAACCCACCUAGGAUAACCUAGGUAUCUUGUACUGAAUCCAUAGGUGCAAGAGGCGAACCAGGGGAACUGAAACAUCUAAGUACCCUGAGGAAAAGAAAUCAACCGAGAUUCCCUUAGUAGUGGCGAGCGAACGGGGAUUAGCCCUUAAGCUUCAUUGAUUUUAGCGGAACGCUCUGGAAAGUGCGGCCAUAGUGGGUGAUAGCCCCGUACGCGAAAGGAUCUUUGAAGUGAAAUCGAGUAGGACGGAGCACGAGAAACUUUGUCUGAACAUGGGGGGACCAUCCUCCAAGGCUAAAUACUACUGACUGACCGAUAGUGAACCAGUACCGUGAGGGAAAGGCGAAAAGAACCCCGGAGAGGGGAGUGAAAUAGAACCUGAAACCGUAUGCGUACAAGCAGUGGGAGCCUACUUGUUAGGUGACUGCGUACCUUUUGUAUAAUGGGUCAGCGACUUAUAUUCAGUGGCAAGCUUAACCGUAUAGGGUAGGCGUAGCGAAAGCGAGUCUUAAUAGGGCGUUUAGUCGCUGGGUAUAGACCCGAAACCGGGCGAUCUAUCCAUGAGCAGGUUGAAGGUUAGGUAACACUGACUGGAGGACCGAACCCACUCCCGUUGAAAAGGUAGGGGAUGACUUGUGGAUCGGAGUGAAAGGCUAAUCAAGCUCGGAGAUAGCUGGUUCUCCUCGAAAGCUAUUUAGGUAGCGCCUCAUGUAUCACUCUGGGGGGUAGAGCACUGUUUCGGCUAGGGGGUCAUCCCGACUUACCAAACCGAUGCAAACUCCGAAUACCCAGAAGUGCCGAGCAUGGGAGACACACGGCGGGUGCUAACGUCCGUCGUGAAAAGGGAAACAACCCAGACCGCCAGCUAAGGUCCCAAAGUUGUGGUUAAGUGGUAAACGAUGUGGGAAGGCUUAGACAGCUAGGAGGUUGGCUUAGAAGCAGCCACCCUUUAAAGAAAGCGUAAUAGCUCACUAGUCGAGUCGGCCUGCGCGGAAGAUGUAACGGGGCUCAAACCACACACCGAAGCUGCGGGUGUCACGCAAGUGACGCGGUAGAGGAGCGUUCUGUAAGCCUGUGAAGGUGAGUUGAGAAGCUUGCUGGAGGUAUCAGAAGUGCGAAUGCUGACAUGAGUAACGACAAUGGGUGUGAAAAACACCCACGCCGAAAGACCAAGGGUUCCUGCGCAACGUUAAUCGACGCAGGGUUAGUCGGUUCCUAAGGCGAGGCUGAAAAGCGUAGUCGAUGGGAAACAGGUUAAUAUUCCUGUACUUCUGGUUACUGCGAUGGAGGGACGGAGAAGGCUAGGCCAGCUUGGCGUUGGUUGUCCAAGUUUAAGGUGGUAGGCUGAAAUCUUAGGUAAAUCCGGGGUUUCAAGGCCGAGAGCUGAUGACGAGUCGUCUUUUAGAUGACGAAGUGGUUGAUGCCAUGCUUCCAAGAAAAGCUUCUAAGCUUCAGGUAACCAGGAACCGUACCCCAAACCGACACAGGUGGUCGGGUAGAGAAUACCAAGGCGCUUGAGAGAACUCGGGUGAAGGAACUAGGCAAAAUGGCACCGUAACUUCGGGAGAAGGUGCGCCGGCUAGGGUGAAGGAUUUACUCCGUAAGCUCUGGCUGGUCGAAGAUACCAGGCCGCUGCGACUGUUUAUUAAAAACACAGCACUCUGCAAACACGAAAGUGGACGUAUAGGGUGUGACGCCUGCCCGGUGCCGGAAGGUUAAUUGAUGGGGUUAGCGCAAGCGAAGCUCUUGAUCGAAGCCCCGGUAAACGGCGGCCGUAACUAUAACGGUCCUAAGGUAGCGAAAUUCCUUGUCGGGUAAGUUCCGACCUGCACGAAUGGCGUAACGAUGGCGGCGCUGUCUCCACCCGAGACUCAGUGAAAUUGAAAUCGCUGUGAAGAUGCAGUGUAUCCGCGGCUAGACGGAAAGACCCCGUGAACCUUUACUGUAGCUUUGCACUGGACUUUGAGCCUGCUUGUGUAGGAUAGGUGGGAGGCUUUGAAGCGUGGACGCCAGUUCGCGUGGAGCCAUCCUUGAAAUACCACCCUGGCAUGCUUGAGGUUCUAACUCUGGUCCGUGAUCCGGAUCGAGGACAGUGUAUGGUGGGCAGUUUGACUGGGGCGGUCUCCUCCUAAAGAGUAACGGAGGAGUACGAAGGUGCGCUC
This 2284-nucleotide ribosomal RNA is filed under the name Pseudomonas aeruginosa. RNAcentral's name for it is "partial 23S ribosomal RNA". It matches the Rfam family "Bacterial large subunit ribosomal RNA", at positions 1 to 2323 of the family's 2925-position model. The record is from RNAcentral. Lineage: Bacteria; Pseudomonadati; Pseudomonadota; Gammaproteobacteria; Pseudomonadales; Pseudomonadaceae.